Molecule: ribosomal RNA, 253 nt
Filed under: uncultured bacterium
Lineage: Bacteria
Description: partial 16S ribosomal RNA
Rfam family: Bacterial small subunit ribosomal RNA
Source: RNAcentral
UACGAAGGACCCGAGCGUUAUCCGGAUUUAUUGGGUUUAAAGGGUGCGUAGGCGGAACGGCAAGUCAGCGGUGAAAUCCUGUUGCUUAACAACAGAAUUGCCAUUGAUACUGCCGAUCUUGAAUACAUUUGAUGUGGGCGGAAUGUGCCAUGUAGUGGUGAAAUACUUAGAUAUGGCACAGAACACCGAUCGCGAAGGCAGCUCACAAAACUGUUAUUGACGCUGAGGCACGAAAGCGUGGGGAUCAAACAGG